UACCCACCGACAGCGGCGGUGAGGCUGAAACCGGAGCCCGGUGGACCGGACACGCAGCGGGGACCGGGGACCGGGGACUGGGGGGGCCGACUGACAGGCACCGGCCGCGGGCCCAGGACGAGCCUCCCUCCGCCUGAACUCCCGGGGAAAAACACGUAAGUUAUCUGCGAGUGCGAGCCGAAUGCUGCGUAUGUGAGCGUCGUGAAUACCACUAUGCGAUUCACAACCAGGCGAGAGCUGGGUGGGAAUAAAAAAGGAAAAACACCACAAGCGCAAAGUGUGAAGAAUCUCAAAGGGAAUAGAAAGUGUUCGUGUUCGCCAUCCCAGCGUGUGCGAGGGGGGAAUUCACGACGGGGAAAAACGUCGUAUGCACUUUUAUUCCCCCCCCCCCCCACACACACACACACACACACUCUCACCACCUCCUCCUCCCUUCGCUCAUCAGGAGUGUUUCAUCAUCGACAUGACAACAGGUAAAUGGAACUGCGUCAGCGAGAGAGAGAGGGAGCCGAGAGAAGAAAACCACACGCCAUCACACCAGAGGGUAUUUCCGCUGCUGCGAUGGUUGGGGACAGUGAGGAAGAACUUGCGCUGCGUCCGAAUUCGACGUUUGAGAAAAGAAACUACGAUGGUAAACAAACGUGGAAUCCGGCCGGGGGGGUGGGGGCUGGCGUGUGAAGGAGGAAGGAGCUCGGAAUAGGAUGCUGCGCAAGAGAUGGGUAGUGCGUAAUCCUUGUUGUGGGAGAGGACGCGGUGUUACGCAGUUGGUAUUGGCACGGCCGUUUAACACCUCAUGGCCUCGUGCUCUCUCUCUUUUUUUUUUUAUGGCGUUAUCGAAUGUCACCGCCUGAUUUUUUUCUACAAACACAAUAACACCGGACGGACUUUCUUCUCACUGACGCGCAGGCAGAAGGAGAGGGCUCUGCUGUGGCGUUUGCGUAAUUCCCGGCAGGAAACUUGACGCGUCACAAGCGAGCGGCACAACGGUGACGCAGCUUGUUUGGUUUGCUCCAUGUGUUCCAACAACAGUCGCUGCGUCACAGAGGAACCCGGGAGGACCAUUCAUAGUAAUCAGGCUCCUCUUCGUGCGCACUUGAGACGAUGAAAACAAGCCGUGCUGCCCCGGACAGUAGGGGGCGCUGCCGAGCAACACAAAUCCCUCUGGCGUCACCUAUCUGCUGAGGGACGUUGACGUACAGGUAUUUCUCAUCUCUACCUGAAAACAGCUUCUGCACCAUUUCCUUUUGUCUUUAUCUCUUGGGUUCUGUUUUGUAUUCAUAACAUUGGCACAAGCUGUGAUUAUAUAACUCCAAACUAAAUUGUAAUUUUAGAAUUUCCAUAACUUGGCUGUAUUUGUUUGUUCCUCAGAGUUGUGUGUUCUUUUGCCGUUUAGCUGAUUUGCCUCCACCUGCGUCGGAGCCUGCAAUGGACGCCAGCCAGCGCUCAGCAGGACACGGACACGCCUGAUGUGAUGACACAAGUUGCUGUUGACUCAGAGGCCGCGGGCCUCUUGCACCUUCCUAAUGACCCAUGUGGAGAGAGCAAAAAGGGCGUGGUGCCUUCCUACCUCCGCUCACCUGCCAGAGGGACAGGAGAUGAAGUGCUUUACUCGCCCUCGGAGAGCUUCUUAGGGAGGGGCGCUGCCUCUCGAGUCAAACAAACAGCAGAGCACAGCAGCACAAGAGGCCCCAAAUGAGCUGCUUUCAACUCAGUUUCAUUCAGAGUUCUCGGAGGAAUGUCUCAAUAAUGAGGCAGCCAAAUGCAAUUCCGCCGAAAGCCAGAUGCAGCCGGAGAUCACUUCUAAAACACAGCGGAGAGCUGAUGUGGAUGUUUCUGGGGCCGGCAUCACCUGUAGACCUCUUGAACCGACCGAGGGAAAAUGUCUGAACGACCCACUGCCUUCUAAAACAGAUCCCUCCUACGCACAGAUUAUAGGAAAGGAGGUGGCCCCGAGCUGAGAGAUGACAGUGCUAAAAUUAAACUCGGAGCGCCGCUGGCCUCGCUAGAUGAUGAUGUAUUAUUAGACAAGUGUGAGGCAGCACUCAUUCGCAGGUAUCAUUAGCAACCGGAAAACUAAUGGGCUGCAAAAUAAGGGGAGGGGGUACUGUAGGCCACUUUGCUGAAACACUUCUUACUGCCAUGAUUAAUCACCUCAAUUGGACUUCUGUAAAGAUUUCUGGAACAGGAGCAAUUCUAAGGAGGAGGAUGAAAUAGUGACGCAGCUGGUGUUUCUUUGCAACAUUUGCUGAUAAUCAUUUGGGGAUGCCGGCCAGAUUUCCUCCCUCUCUUCCUGAAGACCUGAUAUGUUUUCACAAAGACACCCAGUAGCCCUGUAGCUAUUUCAAACGGGUAUCUUUACUUUUAUCUGUGGCCAUUCAGCUCAUAGAGUCGCUCCUGUUAUCAGCAGCUCCUCUGAUAUUUCCCAACAACACGAGUCGGAGCCAGAACAGAGUGACAAAGUGUAAUUCGCCUCUUCUAUUUUCAUCCACCGUGCAGCAGACAGAACAAACAAAGUGUCGGGCUCAUCUGAACGUGUUAAGGAUCCGAAUAUUUACCAGUUGGCUGCACGGAGGAGAAGCAGAGGCAGCUUGGAAGGAGUUAUCUAAGCUAUUAAAUGAUCCACAGAGUUUAUGUGUGGUUGAGCAAAUUGAGCAGGAAACUAGGCUCAAGCCACCGUUGGCUUUGAUUUGUUCUGAAAAGUAUCAUGUGAUUCCUGUAAACAUGUAAUAGUGUGACUUUAAUAGCAAGUUUAACUGGUUUUAUUGUCACAAAGCCACAUUUAUAAACAUAUCUGAGCUUGUUCUUUA
Long non-coding RNA from Platichthys flesus (European flounder), 2807 nucleotides. RefSeq lists it as uncharacterized. Lineage: Eukaryota; Metazoa; Chordata; Actinopteri; Pleuronectiformes; Pleuronectidae. The record is from RefSeq and is a predicted model, not a curated record. The transcript is spliced from 2 exons.